This 427-nucleotide long non-coding RNA is filed under the name Sus scrofa (pig). Its description in RNAcentral is "lncRNA (ENSSSCG00055012503.1)". The record is from RNAcentral. Lineage: Eukaryota; Metazoa; Chordata; Mammalia; Artiodactyla; Suidae.
AUGUUAGAUCCAGGCUCACCCAGUUUCUAUCUGGAAUUACAUGAUUUAGAGUUACUUACUAGGGCUAGACUACUUCACACCACUCCUUUUGCUUCUUUCCAUCCCUUCCACCGAGAACUUCUUUCUCCCUGGCCCCACAGAGUUUCCGGUCAUCCUUCUGACACUCUCAUGGAAACCAUCUGCCUUCUCAAUUGGGUUUGUCUGAAGCAAGGUUCAUCCUGUAUUCUUUGUCUCUCCCUGAGUCGUCAUAAGCUUGGUCCAAAGUUCAUUCACUACAACGCUCUCCUAGAUUCCCUGGUCUCAGAUGCCCACUCAGGUCAUGUUCUGGAAUUUUACUGCACGUGUGGCAGGAGCAGGAAACUUAAGGCAUGAAGGCGGUGACACACGUGACACUCCUGCCUGCUGGCAGCUGAGCCCUCACCCUCCA